GGAAAGAUGGCCGAGUGGCUGAAGGCGCACGCUUGGAAAGCGUGUAUACGGUAAAACGUAUCGAGGGUUCGAAUCCCUCUCUUUCCGCAA
This 90-nucleotide transfer RNA is filed under the name Deltaproteobacteria bacterium CG11_big_fil_rev_8_21_14_0_20_47_16. RNAcentral describes it as "tRNA-Ser". It matches the Rfam family "tRNA". From Rfam's summary of the family: Transfer RNA (tRNA) molecules are approximately 80 nucleotides in length. Their secondary structure includes four short double-helical elements and three loops (D, anti-codon, and T loops). The record is from RNAcentral. Lineage: Bacteria; Deltaproteobacteria.